This 299-nucleotide signal recognition particle RNA is filed under the name Aotus nancymaae (Ma's night monkey). RNAcentral describes it as "Metazoan signal recognition particle RNA (ENSANAG00000005278.1)". It matches the Rfam family "Metazoan signal recognition particle RNA". Rfam says of the family: The signal recognition particle (SRP) is a universally conserved ribonucleoprotein. It is involved in the co-translational targeting of proteins to membranes. The eukaryotic SRP consists of a 300-nucleotide 7S RNA and six proteins: SRPs 72, 68, 54, 19, 14, and 9. The record is from RNAcentral. Lineage: Eukaryota; Metazoa; Chordata; Mammalia; Primates; Aotidae.
GCCGGGCACGGUGGUGCGUGCCUGUAGUCCCAGCUACAGGGGAGGCUGAGGUGGGAGGAUCGCUUGAGCCCAGGAGUUCUGGGCUGUAGUGCACUAUGCCGAUCGGGUGUCUGCACUGAGUUCGGCAUCAGUAUGGUGACCUCCCGGGAGCAGGGGACCACCAGGUUGCCUAAGGAGGGGUGAAGCGACCCAGGUGGGAAACGGAGCAGGUGAAAACUCCCGUGUUGAUCAGUAGUGGGAUCGCGCCUGUGAAUAGCUACUUCACUCCAGCCUGGGCAACAUAGUGAGACUCCGUCUCU